GACGAAGGAUGCAAGCGUUAUCCGGAUUCAUUGGGUUUGAAGGGAGCGUAGGGGGCCCGGUAAGUCAGUGGUGAAAUCUCGCAGCUUAACUGCGAAACUGCCAUUGAUACUGCUGGGCUUGAGUACAGAUGCCGUUGGCGGAAUAUGACAUGUAGUGGUGAAAUACAUAGAGAUGUCAUAGAACACCGAUUGCGAAGGCAGCUAACGAAACUGUAACUGACACUGAGGCUCGAAAGUGCGGGGAUCAAACAGG
RNAcentral lists this ribosomal RNA (253 nucleotides) under uncultured bacterium. Its description in RNAcentral is "partial 16S ribosomal RNA". It matches the Rfam family "Bacterial small subunit ribosomal RNA", at positions 524 to 776 of the family's 1533-position model. The record is from RNAcentral.